Microcebus murinus (gray mouse lemur) is the source of this 142-nucleotide non-coding RNA. Lineage: Eukaryota; Metazoa; Chordata; Mammalia; Primates; Cheirogaleidae. The record is from RefSeq and is a predicted model, not a curated record.
AGCAGACAGCCAAAGGCUUCUAAAUGAGGUGAUGGUGGAACACUUCUUCCGACAAGGAAUGCUGGAUGUAGCUGAGGAGCUCUGCCAGGAAUCUGGUCUUUCUGUAGACCCAAGUCAGAAAGAACCAUUUGUGGAGUUAAAU